This 253-nucleotide ribosomal RNA is filed under the name uncultured bacterium. RNAcentral's name for it is "partial 16S ribosomal RNA". It matches the Rfam family "Bacterial small subunit ribosomal RNA", at positions 524 to 776 of the family's 1533-position model. The record is from RNAcentral.
UACGAAUGGGGCAAGCGUUGUUCGGAAUCACUGGGCUUAAAGCGUGCGUAGGCGGACUCACAAGUCAGAAGUGAAAUCCCCGGGCUCAACCCGGGAAUUGCUUUUGAAACUGUGAGUCUAGAAUCCCGGAGAGGUUAGGAGAAUUCCGAGUGUAGAGGUGAAAUUCGCAGAUAUUCGGAGGAAUACCAGUGGCGUAGGCGCCUAACUGGACGGGCAUUGACGCUGAGGCACGAAAGCGUGGGUAGCAAACAGG